UUAACGACUAUGAUAAGGACUAGUAGUGUGUAACUCAUCAAAAAAAGAGAGACAGUGGUUGGUGAAAACUGUUGAUGAUGUACAUAUGAACUCACCUUGGAUGUUGCUGUAGUGAACUUAAGUAACUAUUGCCGUUUCAUCAACGUUAUCGAUGUCAAGUGAGUGUCUUCAUAGACGCUAAUUUGGGUGGUACCGCGGGAAAUAAAAGCUUCUCGUCCCUGUU
RNAcentral lists this non-coding RNA (223 nucleotides) under Oceanobacillus iheyensis. RNAcentral describes it as "T-box sequence". It matches the Rfam family "T-box leader". From Rfam's summary of the family: Uncharged tRNA acts as the effector for transcription antitermination of genes in the T-box leader family. T-boxes are found upstream of many aminoacyl-tRNA synthetase genes and some amino acid biosynthetic genes usually in Gram-positive bacteria. Lineage: Bacteria; Bacillati; Bacillota; Bacilli; Caryophanales; Bacillaceae. The record is from RNAcentral.